RNAcentral lists this unclassified non-coding RNA (280 nucleotides) under fungal sp. RNAcentral's name for it is "partial internal transcribed spacer region". The stretch from base 1 to 46 matches the Rfam family "Eukaryotic small subunit ribosomal RNA", at positions 1786 to 1831 of the family's 1831-position model. RNAcentral also lists the same sequence under 1 other name. Lineage: Eukaryota; Fungi. The record is from RNAcentral.
AAGUCGUAACAAGGUUUCCGUAGGUGAACCUGCGGAAGGAUCAUUAUGAAUUUGAACUUGUGUGUGUGGUUGUUUCGAGACUUUUUUUGUUUUGAACGCCUCCCCACAAUUCUUUUUCUGUGAACUGUUCUUGAGCUUUUGUCAAUUUACGUUGAUAAAAGCUUGGGUCAUUUUUUGUUUUCUUGUAUUAUUCCACUUUAUAUUUCGAGUAAUUCUUGCAAAAGAAUGAAAAAAAUACAAUAAACCAAGACAACUUUCAGCAAUGGAUCUCUUGGCUCUU